RNAcentral lists this unclassified non-coding RNA (304 nucleotides) under Hevea brasiliensis (rubber tree). Lineage: Eukaryota; Viridiplantae; Streptophyta; Magnoliopsida; Malpighiales; Euphorbiaceae. The record is from RNAcentral.
CAAUUUUCACUUUCAAGGCAUAAAGAUCUCAAUAGUUGCUUGCUAGAACUUCACUCCCUUCAUGGUGUUUCAACUAAUUAUUCCUUUAUAUAAGGUCAUUAAUAAGUUAUAAAUAACUUGUUUUAUCAAGAUAGAUUUGAUAAAUAUUUGUUUUCUCAAAUUUGCUUCUAUUAUAGAUAAUUAUGAUUAAGUGAUUCAAUUUCAACUCCAUAGGCAUAUCUCAAAUUUCUAUCUUCAUUAAUGUAGCAUAUACUUUUUAAAAGAUUAAAAGGUCUUUAAAAGAAUUGUAAUGGGGUUAAAGGGA